CCUACGGGCGGCAGCAGUAGGGAAUUUUGCGCAAUGGGGGAAACCCUGACGCAGCAACGCCGCGUGAUCGAUGAAGCCCUUCGGGGUGUAAAGAUCUGUUAGUGGGGACGAAACCUGCCGGUACCCACAGAGGAAGCACCGGCUAACCCCGUCCCAGCAGCCGCGGUAAUAGGGGGGGUGCAAGCGUUGUCCGGAAGCAUUGGGCGUAAAGAGUGCGUAGGUGGCACGGUAAGUCUGAUGUGAAAGUCGGAGGCUCAACUUCCGUAGGGCACUGGAUACUGGCGCGCUGGAGUGCGGGAGAGGUAGGGGGAAUUCCUGGUGUAGCGGUGAAAUGCGUAGAUAUCAGGAGGAACAUCGGUGGCGAAGGCGCUUUGCUGGGCCGUAAUUGACGCUGAGGAACGAAAGCCGGGGGAGCAAAUAGGAUUAGAUACCCCUGUAGUC
Molecule: ribosomal RNA, 441 nt
Filed under: uncultured bacterium
Lineage: Bacteria
Description: partial 16S ribosomal RNA
Rfam family: Bacterial small subunit ribosomal RNA
Source: RNAcentral